Long non-coding RNA from Saccostrea echinata, 251 nucleotides. RefSeq lists it as uncharacterized. Lineage: Eukaryota; Metazoa; Mollusca; Bivalvia; Ostreida; Ostreidae. The record is from RefSeq and is a predicted model, not a curated record. The transcript is spliced from 3 exons.
UACCACACAAGGAAGAGGAGACCACUGCCAGGAUACAGGGUAUCCACUAUGUCAACAGGCCAACAUUGGCCAAAGUGAAUUAUAGUUAGUCUCAAUCCCGAUACAAAAAAAGACAACACUACUUGUGAAGAAGAGUCCAGGGAGUUGGGAUCAACUGAAGCCAACCACUGAAUAAAGGAUGACAGCAGGUAUAGAUAGAUGCCAAAUUGUGGACGACCACACAAUGAUGAGGAGGCCAUUACCAAAAUACA